AUCGCUUCUCGGCCUUUUGGCUAUGAUCAAGUGUAGAUUGUGAAUAUUUAUUUUUAAAUUUGUUAAACUAGUUUAAACUUUUUUCAAAAAACAUUAAACAUAUCUGUUAUGUUCAAAAGACUCUUU
Small nuclear RNA from Heterocephalus glaber (naked mole-rat), 126 nucleotides. Its record names the gene U2. It matches the Rfam family "U2 spliceosomal RNA". From Rfam's summary of the family: U2 is a small nuclear RNA (snRNA) component of the spliceosome (involved in pre-mRNA splicing). Complementary binding between U2 snRNA (in an area lying towards the 5' end but 3' to hairpin I) and the branchpoint sequence (BPS) of the intron results the bulging out of an unpaired adenosine, on the BPS, which initiates a nucleophilic attack at the intronic 5' splice site, thus starting the first of two transesterification reactions that mediate splicing. Lineage: Eukaryota; Metazoa; Chordata; Mammalia; Rodentia; Bathyergidae. The record is from Ensembl.